CAGCCGCCGCGGUAAUACCGGCGGCCCGAGUGGCGGUCACUAUUAUUGGGCUUAAAGCGUCCGUAGCCGGGUUGGGAAGUCCUCCGGGAAAUCUGGCCGCUUAACGGUCAGAAUGCCGGAGGAUACUCCCAGCCUAGGGAGCGGGAGAGGCCGAGGGUAUUCCCGGAGUAGGGGGGAAAUCCUAUAAUCCCGGGAGGACCACCUGUGGCGAAGGCGCUCGGCUGGAACGCGUCCGACGGGGAGGGACGAAGGCCAGGGGAGCAAACCGGAUUAGAUACCCGGGUAGUCCUGGCUGUAAACGAUGCGGACUUUGUGUCGGACAAGCUAUGAGCUUGUCCGGUGCCGGAGGGAAACCGUUAAGUCCGCCGCCUGGGGAGUACGGCCGCAAGGCUGAAACUUAAAGGAAUUGGCGGG
RNAcentral lists this ribosomal RNA (414 nucleotides) under uncultured microorganism. RNAcentral's name for it is "bacterial SSU rRNA". It matches the Rfam family "Archaeal small subunit ribosomal RNA", at positions 459 to 872 of the family's 1478-position model. The record is from RNAcentral.